This 31-nucleotide non-coding RNA is filed under the name Mus musculus (house mouse). The record is from RNAcentral. Lineage: Eukaryota; Metazoa; Chordata; Mammalia; Rodentia; Muridae.
UAGAAAAACGCAAAUUUUCAGUGACCACUCU